GGUCUGGCACUUGCCCAGAUUAUUUUGUUUCAGAAGUUUGAGAUCCUUCUGUUGUUAAGACUUCUACUUGGAAUGGGUUUUAAUCAGUUCUAAGUUUAAAAGGCCUCUCAGCUAGUAUUGGGAUAUGUGACACAGAAAAUCUCUGCUGCCGCAUAUGUUGGUCCCCUACUUUAUGCAGGGAAAUGGGAAUAUUUAGAUCAAUUUAAUGCAGUUUUGUUUGACUGACUUUAAGGGAGUGGGCAUGGCAGUACACACCUAUAUUCUCACUGAAAGUGCUCAUUGACCAUCCAAAAACUUUGGAUUUUAGAUAACAAAAGUUGUCUUAUCCUCAGAAUUGACUGUAUCUCGGGUCUUCUUUUUCUACAUCACAAAAUAAACCUAGGUUGGUCUUUAUAAAGACAAUGACAGAUUCUGCAGUGAAAUAUUGGCUCUCAUAAAGGCACCUCAGCCCUAUAUGGUACUUAGAUGAAUCUGACCUAGACAAUUAUCUUACUCUUCAUUUGGAAUUGGACUUUGUGCUAAACAAGAGGGGCAGGGAACAGUAGAUAAAAACAAGCUCUCUGGCUAUGUUUUACACGCAGCUAAAUUUUUCCACUGGAAAGAACAUUA
RNAcentral lists this long non-coding RNA (609 nucleotides) under Marmota monax (woodchuck). The record is from RNAcentral. Lineage: Eukaryota; Metazoa; Chordata; Mammalia; Rodentia; Sciuridae.